UACGAAGGGGGCUAGCGUUGUUCGGAAUUACUGGGCGUAAAGGGCGCGUAGGCUGUGCUGUAAGUCAGGCGUGAAAGGCCCGGGCUCAACCUGGGAAUGGCGCUUGAUACUGCGGCGCUGGAAGGUGGGAGAGGAUGGCGGAAUUCCCAGUGUAGAGGUGAAAUUCGUAGAUAUUGGGAAGAACACCGGUGGCGAAGGCGGCCAUCUGGCCCACAUUUGAUGCUGAGGCGCGAAAGCGUGGGGAGCAAACAGG
RNAcentral lists this ribosomal RNA (253 nucleotides) under uncultured bacterium. Its description in RNAcentral is "partial 16S ribosomal RNA". It matches the Rfam family "Bacterial small subunit ribosomal RNA", at positions 524 to 776 of the family's 1533-position model. The record is from RNAcentral.